Molecule: non-coding RNA, 27 nt
Filed under: Rattus norvegicus (Norway rat)
Lineage: Eukaryota; Metazoa; Chordata; Mammalia; Rodentia; Muridae
Source: RNAcentral
UGUGAGGCUGAUCUGCAAUAGCGAUUC